This 785-nucleotide ribosomal RNA is filed under the name uncultured Mycobacterium sp. RNAcentral's name for it is "bacterial SSU rRNA". It matches the Rfam family "Bacterial small subunit ribosomal RNA", at positions 568 to 1350 of the family's 1533-position model. The record is from RNAcentral. Lineage: Bacteria; Bacillati; Actinomycetota; Actinomycetes; Mycobacteriales; Mycobacteriaceae.
CUCGUAGGUGGUUUGUCGCGUUGUUCGUGAAAUCUCACGGCUUAACUGUGAGCGUGCGGGCGAUACGGGCAGACUAGAGUACUGCAGGGGAGACUGGAAUUCCUGGUGUAGCGGUGGAAUGCGCAGAUAUCAGGAGGAACACCGGUGGCGAAGGCGGGUCUCUGGGCAGUAACUGACGCUGAGGAGCGAAAGCGUGGGGAGCGAACAGGAUUAGAUACCCUGGUAGUCCACGCCGUAAACGGUGGGUACUAGGUGUGGGUUUCCUUCCUUGGGAUCCGUGCCGUAGCUAACGCAUUAAGUACCCCGACUGGGGAGUACGGCCGCAAGGCUAAAACUCAAAGGAAUUUAUCGGGGGCCCGCACAAGCGGCGGAGCAUGUGGAUUAAUUCGAUGCAACGCGAAGAACCUUACCUGGGUUCGACAUGCACAGGACGCGUCUAGAGAUAGGCGUUCCCUUGUGGCCUGUGUGCAGGUGGUGCAUGGCUGUCGUCAGCUCGUGUCGUGAGAUGUUGGGUUAAGUCCCGCAACGAGCGCAACCCUUGUCUCAUGUUGCCAGCGGGUAAUGCCGGGGACUCGUGAGAGACUGCCGGGGUCAACUCGGAGGAAGGUGGGGAUGACGUCAAGUCAUCAUGCCCCUUAUGUCCAGGGCUUCACACAUGCUACAAUGGCCGGUACAAAGGGCUGCGAUGCCGUAAGGUUAAGCGAAUCCUUUUAAAGCCGGUCUCAGUUCGGAUUGGGGUCUGCAACUCGACCCCAUGAAGUCGGAGUCGCUAGUAAUCGCAGAUC